AGAAUUCCGCGAAUCAUCGAGUCUUUGAACGCAACUUGNNCCCGGGGCUCGACCCAGGNNAUUUCUGCCAGAGCGUCACC
This 80-nucleotide ribosomal RNA is filed under the name Campylopus introflexus. RNAcentral describes it as "5.8S ribosomal RNA". The record is from RNAcentral. Lineage: Eukaryota; Viridiplantae; Streptophyta; Bryopsida; Dicranales; Leucobryaceae.